CCAAACUUUGUAUGCAGUGUAGAAUGUAUUUUUUGUUUUUGCGAUCACGCAAUCAAUACAACUUUCAACAACGGAUCUCUUGGCUCUCGCAUCGAUGAAGAACGCAGCGAAAUGCGAUACGUAAUGUGAAUUUGCAGAAUUCAGUGAAUCAUCGAAUCUUUGAACGCACCUUGCGCCCCUUGGCAUUCCGAGGGGCACACCCGUUUGAGUGUCGUGAAAUUCUCAAAAACCUUUUUCUUUUUGGGAAAGGGUUUUUGGACUUGGAGGCUUUUUGCUGGCUUCACCUUGAAGUGAGCUCCUCCUAAAUGAAUCAGUGGGGUCCGCUUUGCCGAUCCUUGACGUGAUAAGAUGUUUCUGCGUCUUUGGGUUUGGCACUGUCACCUGCUUCUAACUGUCUCAUUGACAAUGAUGGUGCUCCGGUCACCACCUGCUCUUAUCGGUGGGAGGCUUGACCCACAAAAACAAAACCUUGACCUCAAAUCGGGUGAGACUACCCUGCUGAACUUAAGCAUAUCAAUAAGCGGAGGAAAAGAAACUAACAAGGAUUCCCCUAGUAACUGCGAGUGAAGCGGGAAAAGCUCAAAUUUAAAAUCUGGUGGCCUUUGGCCAUGCCGAGUUGUAAUUUAGAGA
Molecule: ribosomal RNA, 630 nt
Filed under: uncultured Russula
Lineage: Eukaryota; Fungi; Basidiomycota; Agaricomycetes; Russulales; Russulaceae
Description: eukaryotic LSU rRNA
Rfam family: 5.8S ribosomal RNA (bases 60-214)
Source: RNAcentral